CCCCUCUCAGGGUCACACCUGGAGAGUAUCCAGUACUCUACCAGUUUCGACCUCGGGAGGGAGAGUCAAGCAGAGGCAUAACCAUUCCAUUCCUAGCUUGGGCAGUGGCUAGCGAGUGGAAGGCAAUCUGCUACUAGU
This is a small nucleolar RNA of Ornithorhynchus anatinus (platypus), 138 nucleotides long. NCBI's taxonomy places the organism in Eukaryota, Metazoa, Chordata, Mammalia, Monotremata, Ornithorhynchidae. The record is from RefSeq and is a predicted model, not a curated record.